GAUGAAGAACGUAGCGAAAUUCGAUAAGUAAUGUGAAUUGCAGAAUUCAGUGAAUCAUCGAAUCUUUGAACGCACAUUGCGCCCCCUGGUAUUCCGGGGGGCAUGCCUGUUCGAGCGUCAUUACAACCCUCAAGCUCUGCUUGGUGUUGGGCCCCGCCGCCCCGGCGGGCCCUAAAAUCAGUGGCGGUGCCGUCCGGCUCCGAGCGUAGUAAUUCUUCUCGCUCUGGAGGUCCGGGUGUGUGCUCGCCAGCAACCCCCAAUUUUUUUCAGGUUGACCUCGGAUCAGGUAGGGAUACCCGCUGAACUUAAGCAUAUCAAUAAGCGGAGGA
Molecule: unclassified non-coding RNA, 329 nt
Filed under: soil metagenome
Description: partial contains 5.8S ribosomal RNA, internal transcribed spacer 2, and large subunit ribosomal RNA
Rfam family: 5.8S ribosomal RNA (bases 1-120)
Source: RNAcentral